UUAUUUUCACUCGGCCAACAGGUACCACGACCGAAUCUAAAUUCCCCAAACCUAAAUCCUCUCAACCACUUCCCCCCGCCGCCGACCGCCCGCUCGCCCGCUAUCUCCAGCAUGUCGUCACGGCGACAGCCAGGUUGCUGCCUUGUCUCCUUCAUCCUCGUGCACCCCCACUGCUUAGUCUACCAACACUUCCAAUCCUAGAUUGUGCGCUGCAGUUCGGGGAGAGGCCAAGGCCUGGUGGUGGACGCCGUCGUCCCUCUCAGAUUUGAGGCUGAGAGAGAGAGAGAGAGAAGGGGUGGGGGAGGAAGGAAGGGAGAGGCGGGUCACCUGCGAGAGAGAGAGCACUCGCACCCUCGCUCGUCACCCAGGGUCCGCCACCACUGCCGCCACAAAGGGCUUCAUCCGAUCUGUGCUCGCCGGUUGACUGCUGUUGCUUCCCCUCCCCCAGCGGUGAGUAUUCUUUUCACUCUUCUCCCCCUCUCCACCCCUCCAAACUAGUGCUGCCGUUAGUUUAGUUGUUCGAUUUUCCCUUUUCCGUUCAGAUUAGCCAUGACUUGGGAUAGUACUUCUAUCCUGCAAGCAGUGUUUGGCUGUGAGCUCGAGCUCAAGUAGAACGCCAGAAAGGGGCUCUAUCUGCUAAUGGGGUAGCCGGCAAUGUAGUCUAAGAUCUACAUCUCGUGUGAUUACUGGAUAUGAGAGGAUGAGAACUUGAGAAGAACAAGCUUGAUGCUAUUAUUGCAUAAAAAAUCUAUGGUACAGGUAUUCCUUUUAGUAGUGUUGCAGGAAACAUUAACUAGCUACUUUUUUAUGAACUGGUUGUGAUUGAUUUGUGAACUUGAGAGCUUGUGAGUUGUAAUUUGUGAUGUUUGAACCCUUGCGAGACUAUUAUAUUAUGCUAUGUGUGCUUGAAGGUUAAUACAAGGGUAUUCAUCAUAUGAAAAAUCAUUACUUAAUAUAUAUAUAUAUACGAUCCACAUAUCUAUGCUUUGAGAUGAGGGACAACCCUGAGAACUAGCUUCAGGUUCCACAAAAAGUCCAAAUAAUCAUACUAAUAUUUCAGUCUUUUGUUUAACCAUUGUAGAAUUCUUGCAAAACAUUACUAUAUUUAACUUAGUUCAGUUUUUCUGGAAUCAAGAUAAAAUACAUAUCUAGCAAUUUAUAUUUCUACAGUAACGCUUCUAUAGAUUUUACCUGCUUCAGCUUGUUAUCAUAAAUCCUCUUUUAUGCUAACUGGUUAACUUGUUUUAUAUUUCUACAGUAACGCUUCUAUAGAUUUUACCUCUUUCGGCUUGUUAACUUGUUUUGAUGCAUCUUUUAUCCCGCUUCAGCUUGUUAGCAUAAAUCCUCUUUUCUCCUGAUUCAGUUGAUUAGCAACCACUAUUGUUCAGGAAUUUCAAGUGGCGCACAUCUUGUCUGGUGAGCCGACGACCGGACAUCUUUUGUCAAGGUUUGUGCCCACUGAAAACUCUUGCUGAGGAUAUGAAUGAUAUUCAUCGCAAACUGAUGUAGCUUCUCAAUAUAUGUACUGUAUUAGAUUGUUUUGAUUUAUAUCAGAUGCGCUAUCUUUUGGUAUGUUCAACCAUUCAGGUUGUGUUACUGUUUCCUAAGUUCAGGUUGGAGGAGUAUGAAUAUUGAUAAUAGUCGUGAUUCUUGUGGAGUAAUUUAUCACAGAGUUCCUUUCAGGCUUAUGCCAUAUCAUCAAUGAACCAUAUGGAUCGAUGUUUUCACCAUGUUUUAGUUCCAUGUACUUAUAGUAAUAGCUGAGAACAUGGUGCAUUUUGUUUAACCAUUUCCUAAUCCACACAGCUUUCAGAAUGCUAACGCAAGUACUUAGACAAGCGCACAUCAGACUUUCAUGGUACGACGGUGCGCCCAUCAAUUGUUAUGUGUUCUACUUAUGUGUUCUACUCUGCCUGUGACAUGACCAUCAACUUCAUUUUACCGCUGGACAAGAAAUGACAUGCAUCUCAUGUCCACGAUCCUACUUAGAAACAAUAACUAUCUAGACUUAACUAUUGUAAAAUAUAAAUGUUAAUAUAUUGUCUAGACUUAACUAUUAAUCAGGGCACACAAUGUUAAUAUACUUCAAAUAUGGCUAAGUUGGUCUUAACUAUUGUAAAAUAUAAAUGGCAAUGAUAAUGCAGACAUAGAUCAUAUUAUUGCAUUACCCUUUUCCAAGAAAAUAAUGGAAGUACGUGUAUGAUCUUUCUGUGAAAUACAUUAUCAUGCUUUUGCAAGUUCCACGUUUUUCAAUUUCAGAUAAAGGAAUUGGAUCUUUCUUGGAGGCUCGGUGUUUCUUAACUGAGGCAUCUGCAGCAAUCUGUGUGUUGUCAGGUCCCAACGGGUCAAAGGAUUCAUCCUCCUUAUUCUGUCAGAUUUGCUUAUUCUUUCCAUGCAUACUGUACGAUCUUGAAAAGGUCAGAUUUGAGAGUACAUCUGCUGAAUUUUAAUUUUCAAAGAUGAUGAAUAUAUAUUGUAUAAUAUAAAUCAAAAUAUCAUAUAUUGAAUUUGUAGUUUCAUUCUCCAUUUCAGAUGAUGUCGUCUUCAGAUGUUGUUGUCUACCUAACCUAUUAUAGUUAUUUGUUCUCAAUCUGUCAUUACUCCAAGCCCAUCUCAAAAGCCUACUUUCUUGAAUUGUAGGAUGGAGAAUAAUACUGCUAUAACAGACGUUGAGGCCAUAAAACAACAUCUACUUACACUUAAGCCAAGACAUGAUCAUGAGGUUUCUUUUCAAUUGCAUAGUUCAUAGUUGGAUUUUUACAAGAACAUUUGCUUCCCUGUUUGGAUGUCGUGAGUCACAACAAGGUAUGAGCUGCUGCUAUGUUUUCUAUAUUCUAUCUCAGUAUUUUUCUUCCCUUAAAAUCUUUGUACAAAUUAUUCCAUUUCAUGUUAGUUGAUACUUUGUGUUUGCAAACAAAGCUCAGACCUAUCUCUCUCAGGGCAUUACUUCCAUACCACACAUGAUUUUAUUUUCUUUGCAGACAUCAACGAUAGGGACCAUGCUAUUGAAUGCAUUAGCUGAUUCAGAUGCCAACGGGGAAUUCUGCGAAGAGACAUUUGUGGCCAAUGUGCAGGUAUGCACGAUAAUGUGUGUGUUUCGCAUUAUCCAUUUGUUAUUGAACCUUUGUCUCUAUUCUGUCAUCAAUCAAAGGCUUCAUGCUGAGAUUGAACCAACCAUGAAAAUGAGAACCGAAGAAAAGAUUAUUAUCUCUUUCUCCCAUCAUUGGGAUCAACCCUUUUAGGCUUUCAGGUUGAGCAGCGACUUUACAUAUAAACGGACCUCCGUAACAAUUUGUACAGUGCUAGGCAAUUGAAGAAAUAUGAUAGCUCUAAAAUGCAUGCCACUUUAUUUACAAUUCUGUGCAAUUAUGGAGCAGAUAUUGAGCCCACAUAGUGCACUUCAUUAUACAACAUAUAACAUGAACGAUAUGUAAUAUUUAUCUGUCAUUACUUGUCUGGCUCGAACUCAGUAGGACAUAUCUUUUCCUGCUCACAUGGUUUCUAAAGUCAGUGACUGGCAGUUUUGGCAACACAUGGUACAUGCGCUCGGAAUGAAGGCCUGGAUGUGCUGAACAGGUUUGGCACACACUACUGGACACACUUGGUUUGAUACUACGUAACCAAAUAGACUCUGGAUUUAACACAAUUCAGCUAUAUGGUCUCCCCAAUUUAUUUCAGAGGGCUACACACUCAUCAAAUCAGUGGAUCAGAUGGAAAUUAUGCUUCUGACCCAGCUGUUAAAAUAUACAAAGCUGCAUAAAUCAACUUGAACAUUUUAGAUGUCUCAUCAAGACCUCCUCAUGUGUCUCUGUUUAUAUUCACCCAUCGAGAUUUCUAUCUAUGUACUUUGCCAAUAUGUGUCAUAUAUAAUGUAAUUAACAAAUGGGCCUACAUAAAACCUUUAAUUGACUGCCACUCAACCAAGCUCUACAGUCUACUAUUUGUUCUUCAUCUUUAAUAAACAAAAAAAUGAAAAAUUUAGAUGAGUAAGAAAACAACUUUUUACUAUUUUAUCAUUGGUUAUCGUGCGUGCAAUUUUACUAGUUUCCUUGGUCUGAAAGCCUUACCAUCAUUUUCUUCUUGCAGGCGGCCAUGGCAAGAGCAUAUUGUGCAGAGGACGUGGAUGAGAAGAAACUUAUGGUUCUCAUUCAAUCUUUGUGGAACUCUCUUUAUGUGCGAUUGUGCAUUUGUUGGAACCUUUUUUCUGUGCACUUGCACAAGUAUUCUGUUGUGCACAUGUAAAAUUAUUUUGAUGUGUCCUUGUUAGGUGUUGAACCUUAAUGCGUGGAGUCAGUGGAUGAUGUAUUGUAUUUGAUGUGAUAUGCUAUUGAAAUGAAAUAUACAUUUUAUUUGCAAUCUUUUAUUUUGUUGUACUUAUUUUUAAUGGGCCUAUCUUGAGAUAUGCGUGCUUCUAGCAAAAAAAAUGCUU
This 4429-nucleotide long non-coding RNA is filed under the name Hordeum vulgare. RNAcentral's name for it is "long non-coding RNA (HVUL_LNC012864)". The record is from RNAcentral. Lineage: Eukaryota; Viridiplantae; Streptophyta; Magnoliopsida; Poales; Poaceae.